Molecule: ribosomal RNA, 465 nt
Filed under: uncultured Klebsiella sp.
Lineage: Bacteria; Pseudomonadati; Pseudomonadota; Gammaproteobacteria; Enterobacterales; Enterobacteriaceae
Description: bacterial SSU rRNA
Rfam family: Bacterial small subunit ribosomal RNA
Source: RNAcentral
CCUACGGGGGGCUGCAGUGGGGAAUAUUGCACAAUGGGCGCAAGCCUGAUGCAGCCAUGCCGCGUGUGUGAAGAAGGCCUUCGGGUUGUAAAGCACUUUCAGCGGGGAGGAAGGCGUUAAGGUUAAUAACCUUGUCGAUUGACGUUACCCGCAGAAGAAGCACCGGCUAACUCCGUGCCAGCAGCCGCGGUAAUACGGAGGGUGCAAGCGUUAAUCGGAAUUACUGGGCGUAAAGCGCACGCAGGCGGUCUGUCAAGUCGGAUGUGAAAUCCCCGGGCUCAACCUGGGAACUGCAUUCGAAACUGGCAGGCUAGAGUCUUGUAGAGGGGGGUAGAAUUCCAGGUGUAGCGGUGAAAUGCGUAGAGAUCUGGAGGAAUACCAGUGGCGAAGGCGGCCCCCUGGACAAAGACUGACGCUCAGGUGCGAAAGCGUGGGGAGCAAACAGGAUUAGAUACCCUUGUAGUC